GCACAUGUCCUAGCAACAGUGGGGUGCUAAAAGUGUGUGAAACAUGUUCUCGUGAUGCGUAUGAUAGUUUAUACAUUUCAACAACAAGAAAAGAGAGAAAAGUGACAAAAUGUCUAGAGAUUCCAUAGAAUUCUCCAAAAACUUCCGCAAGUUACGGAAUUUCCGGAAAAAUGUCUAAAAUCUCCGUACAUUCUACUGUACUCAAAUAACAAUCGUCACAAAAAAUUUUCACACUAACACAAAGCAUCCUUAGAUAAGUAAAAGUACUCCUAAAGCGUCCAUAGCACCCAUUAUAAGUUCUCAUGCUCACAUAGUCUUACACACCAUAGAAGAUUAAAAGACAUAGUUCGAUACAAGAGAUACAUAAAACCAGUUUCACUCCCCUUUGGCAUCAAGCACCAAAAAUGAAAUGAAACUUAACACAACAACAGCUACUCAUCGUCAUCAUCGGUGUCCUCAACCUCCUCUUCUUCUUCCUCUUCUUCUCC
RNAcentral lists this long non-coding RNA (488 nucleotides) under Setaria viridis. Its description in RNAcentral is "long non-coding RNA (SVIR_LNC001659)". The record is from RNAcentral. Lineage: Eukaryota; Viridiplantae; Streptophyta; Magnoliopsida; Poales; Poaceae.